CCUACGGGAGGCAGCAGUGGUGGAUAUUGCACAAUGGGGGAAACCCUGAUGCAGCGACGCCGCGUGUGGGAAGACGGUCCUCUGGAUUGUAAACCACUGUCCCCAGGGACGAAGAUGACGGUACUUGGGGAGGAAGCUCCGGCUAACUCCGGGCCAGCAGCCGCGGUAAUACGCAGGGAGCGAGCGUUGUUCGGAAUUACUGGGUGGAAAGGGAGCGUAGGCGGGACUGCAAGUAGGGUGUCAAAUCUACCGGCUCAACCGGUAGCCGCACUCAAAACUGCAGUUCUUGAGUGAAGUAGAGGCAGGCGGAAUUCCUGGUGUAGCGGUGAAAUGCGUAGAUAGUAGGAGGAACACCAGUGGCGAAGGCGGCCUGCUGGGCUUUUACUGACGCUGAGGCUCGAAAGUGUGGGGAGCAAACAGGAUUAGAUACCCCUGUAGUC
Molecule: ribosomal RNA, 440 nt
Filed under: uncultured bacterium
Lineage: Bacteria
Description: partial 16S ribosomal RNA
Rfam family: Bacterial small subunit ribosomal RNA
Source: RNAcentral